This 301-nucleotide ribosomal RNA is filed under the name uncultured bacterium. RNAcentral's name for it is "partial 16S ribosomal RNA". It matches the Rfam family "Bacterial small subunit ribosomal RNA", at positions 509 to 809 of the family's 1533-position model. The record is from RNAcentral.
CAGUAGCCACGGUAAUACGUAGGCGGCAAGCGUUGUCCGGAAUUAUUGGGCGUAAAGGGCUCGCAGGCGGUUUCUUAAGUCUGAUGUGAAAGCCCCCGGCUCAACCGGGGAGGGUCAUUGGAAACUGGGAAACUUGAGUGCAGAGGAGGAGAGUGGAAUUCCACGUGUAGCGGUGAAAUGCGUAGAGAUGUGGAGGAACACCAGUGGCGAAGGCGACUCUCUGGUCUGUAACUGACGCUGAGGAGCGAAAGCGUGGGGAGCGAACAGGAUUAGAUACCCCUGUAGUCCCUGUCUCUUAUAA